UCGAGAAUCUUCCACAAUGGACGAAAGUCUGAUGGAGCGACGCCGCGUGAUCGAUGAAGUGCUUCGGUAUGUAAAGAUCUUUUAUGAGGGAAGAAGUUUAUUGACGGUACCUCAUGAAUAAGGGCCUGCAAAACUCGUGCCAGCAGCAGCGGUAAUACGAGUGGCCCAAGCGUUAUCCGGAAUUAUUGGGCGUAAAGGAUGUGUAGGUGGUUAUAUUAGUCGGGUGUCUAACCUCUGUGCUUAACAUGGAGACAGCAUUCGAAACGGUAUGACUAGAGUAUAGUAGGGGUAAGCGGAACUCAUAGUGUAGGGGUGAAAUCCGUUGAUAUUAUGGGGAACACCAAAAGCGAAGGCAGCUUACUGGACUAUUACUGACACUGAAACAUGAAAGCGUGGGUAGCGAAUG
RNAcentral lists this ribosomal RNA (406 nucleotides) under uncultured Parcubacteria group bacterium. RNAcentral's name for it is "partial 16S ribosomal RNA". It matches the Rfam family "Bacterial small subunit ribosomal RNA", at positions 355 to 774 of the family's 1533-position model. The record is from RNAcentral.